This is a long non-coding RNA of Felis catus (domestic cat), 3870 nucleotides long. RefSeq lists it as uncharacterized. The transcript is spliced from 5 exons. NCBI's taxonomy places the organism in Eukaryota, Metazoa, Chordata, Mammalia, Carnivora, Felidae. The record is from RefSeq and is a predicted model, not a curated record.
UCUCUCUCUCUCUCUCUGCCCAUGCCCCACUUGUGUUCUUUGUGCCUUUCAAAAAUUAAUGUACCUAAAAGCAUUUUCAAUCCGAUAUUUCCUGGAUGGCUCUUUUCACUUUCAUUGCUGAAGAAGCAGGCGUCUGUCUCGUUCAUUGUUCUUUUGUUAUCUUUGGCAUAGCUGACAACAUAUACGACAUUUCCCCAGCCAGCAUCGGGGAUGCGCAGCAUUUCUUCUACCAGCCGGACACCUCUCAUCCACUGUAACACUGCAUUCCUCUAGAGCAUCCCACAUGCUCUCGGAAACUGGACUGUAACUGUGGAUGGUAGCAGUGUCCCAUAGUCUUCUGAUGGUAUUUCAGGAGGUUCUUCAUUCGCAUCUUUGGUUACCUGAGUGUCUUCUGACAUCUCUCAUGUUUCCACUAGGCCGCUGCUAUGAUGCUCAACAGGGAACCUGAAGCACACUGGGAUUCAGGAGCAGACCAACUACCACUUGGCUCCCACAAAUGGUCGCCUUGGAACUCUUUAUGGAAGAGGAGAAAACACCCACCACCACCGUUUCAUAACCCUGCACCGAAUGUGGAGACAACAAUCACCCACCCCCAAAGGAAACUCUAGCAGGGUACAUGUAUCAAACCUAAGGUGUUGGUUAUGUAUUUUGGAUCAAUAAGUGAGGUUGUACUUUUGACUGGUAAGUGUACAUCUAAAUCCCUCAGAGGGGAUGUUCUCUGAGGUCACCCCAACCUAAAUUGUUGGCCCAUGGGGAGAUGUGUUGUCCCUACUGAUUGUAUUGAUGUUGUCUCUGUAGGCCAGUGAAUUAAAGCUCCAUAGGGUCUUGUCCUGUUCUUGCCUCUUCACGGGAAGGUCCAUUUCACCUAUUGAAAAAGACAGCAAGGGAGUAGUGUUGGCACUAUUAAAUCUGACGUUUCAUGAAUGAGUCUUUUCACUUUCAUGGCUGAAGAAGCAGCAUCUCUUAUGAUGAGGGUUAGGGUUUGGAUUAUCCUGAGGAUUAGGGUAAGGGUUAAGUCAUGCUUGCACCCCCGUUUUGACAAGGGAGGAAGGUCACACCUGACCCCCGCCACCCUCCUUGUGGAAGGGUGUUCAGGCAUGCAGCCUGCCUCCCCUCCACAAGGGAGUAGUGAUGCCACUACUUAAUGUGUUGUUUCAUGAAUGGCUCUUUUCCCUUUCACAGCUGAAGAAGCAGGCAUUUCUUAAGGUAAGUGUUAUGGUUAGGAUUGCCGUUCAUGGUUAGGGUAAGGGAUAGGCCAUGCCUGCACCCUCCCUUGGAGUGGGAGGGCGUUCACACAUGAGCCACGCACCCCCUCAUCUCGGGAGGGUGUUCACCAAUAGGAACCAGUCCCCUUCAGCGGGGGGAUGUUGAUGUAUGCGCCUGCACCCAUCUCGUGUGCGAGGGUGUUCAUGCAUGGACACCACAACCCUUGGCGAGGGAGGGCAUUUGUCCAUGCACCAUGCCCUCCUUGCCUCAGGAGGUGUUCACGCAUGAGCACAGUGCCCCCUUGGCUUGAGAAGGUGUUCAGGUAGGUGCAUGAACCUGCCCCCCAGCGUGGGAGGGGGUUCACGCAUGUGCCCUCCCCCCUCAGGCGCUGGAGGGGUCACAUGUGCACAGCACCACUAGUCAGCAAGGGAGUAGUGGUGCCACUAUUAAAUCUGACGUUUCAUGGACGGCUGUUUUCACUUUCACAGCUGAAGAAGCAUGCAUCUCUUAAGGUCAGGGGUAGGGUUAGCAUUACAUUUAGGGGUUAAGAUAAGAGCUAGGUCAUGCUUGCUCUCCCCCCUCAGCACGGGAAGACUUCACGCAUCACCCCACUAUCCUGAGCAAGGGAGAGUGUUCACCUUUUCACCCCAAUCCCUGAGAGUGGUAAAAUAUUGAAGCACGUGCUCCACUCCACUUCCUUUGGGGAGGGCUUUCACACAUGCGUAGAUCCCCCCUUCAGGACAGAUUGUUCACAUAUGUGCAUGACCACCUGUCGGGUCGGGAGGGUGUUCACUCAUGGGCACACCCCACCUCUGCAUGGGAGAUGGUUCAUGCAUGUGUCUUGCUCACCUCUGCAGGGAGGGUUUUUACGCAUGUGCACAGCCCCACCUUGGUGUGGGAGGAGGUCACCCAUGCAGAGCGCCACCCUUCAAUGAGGAUAUAGUGAUGCCAUUAUUAAAUGUGAUGUUUCAUGAAUGGUUCUUUUCAAUUUCACAGCUGAAUUAGCAGACAACUCUUAAGCUGAAGAAGCAUGCAUCACUUAAGCUGAAGAAACGCGGCCAGGGAGGGCGUUGAUGUAUGCUCCUCGCUCCCCUCGCCAGGAUGCUGUUCACGCAUGUGCAAAGUCCCCCCUCCUUGCCAAAGGGGGUUCAAGCAUGCCCACAACCCCCGCUCUGUGAGGCAGACCAUUUGUACAGGCACACAACCCUCCCUCAGCAAGGGACAGUGUUCAUGCUUGGCCCCACUCACUUCGGUGGGAAGGGUGUUCACACAUGCACAUAACCCCCCUCAGCAUUGGAGGGCGUUCAAAAAUGUGCCCCACCCCACUUGACGCCAGAGGUGGUUCAGGAUUCUGCCUUGCCCCUGGUUGGUGUGUGAGAUGGUCACCCAUGCACAGUGCCACCUUUUAGGGAGAGAGUAGUGGUGUCACUAUUAAAUGUGAUAUUUCACGAAUGGUUCUUUCACUUUCACAGCUGAAGAAACACACAUCUCUUAAGGCUUGCAUCUUCCCUCUACCUCUAUACUCCAAGUUCCUGGCUGGCACUGGAAUUACAUCUUUAGCAUGGACAUCAUAACCUCCAGGUGAGAAUUCUCAGAAUGAGAAAUAGGACAGGAAAGACCUAUUGAAGCUUCUCUGAUGAGUCACUGGAUUUGCAUGCGUGGAGGAUAGAUUUGAGACUCAAAUGAACAACCUACCUUUAACUUCUAAGAACUAGAAGAAAAAAACAAUCUAUGCCCAAUGUUCUCAAAAGGGAGAAAUUAAUCCAUAUGAGAGUGGGAACCAAUGAAACAGACCAUGAAAUCAAUAGAAAACAUGAAGAAGACCAACAGUGGGUUUUCAGAAGAGUGAAACAAAAUUGUCAGCGCUAUACAUAGACUAUGCUAAGACAUAAAGAGGACCAAAUUCAAAAGAAUUACACAUAAAAGAGAAGAUACUAUGCCUUAUACCAAAGAAACAUAAAGCAGACAAAGUGGCAACUAUGGCCAAAUUAGAUUACAUAAAAGUACCUACCUAGAAGAAAUGGAUAGGUUCUUAGAAACACACAACCUACCAAGAUUGUAUCAGGAAGAUAUAGAAGGUUUGCACAGACCCAUUAAAGGAAGACUGUAUCAAUACAAAAAGAUAACCAAUGUAAGUAAAUUGAAUCAGUAAUCGAAGUUCUGCCAAGGAAGAAAACCCCAGGACCAGGUGGAUUCAUUGGUGAAUUUAACCAAACGUUUGUAGAAGAACUAACAGCAGUCCUCUCACUGAUUCAAAAGGAAUGAACACCACCAAACUCAUUUCAUGAGACUGGAAUUACCCUGGUAAGAAGCCAGAAAGGAUACUACCUGAACAGAAAUCUAUAGGCCAGUAUCCUCGUGAUGAAUAUAGAUGAAUAAUUCCCAGUAACAUGCAGGCAAACCAAAUUCAGGAUCACAUGAAAAGAAUCAUUGACCGUGAUGAAGGGUUUUUUUCCUGUAAAGGCAGGAUGUUUCAGAAAUGCAAAUCAAUAAAUGUGAUCCCUCACAAAAUUGAAUGAAAUAAAAACCAACCAGAAACCAGACUCUUAACUAUAAAUAGCAAAUGGAGGGUUACUAUAAGUGAGGUGGGCAGGGGCAUGGGUUAAAUGGGUGAUGGGCUAUGGAGGGCGCUAGCAGUGAGGAUCACUGGGUGUUGUAUGUAAG